CGCUGGCGGCAUGCUUUACACAUGCAAGUCGAACGGCAGCGCGGGCUUCGGCCUGGCGGCGAGUGGCGAACGGGUGAGUAAUAUAUCGGAACGUACCCAAGAGUGGGGGAUAACGUAGCGAAAGUUACGCUAAUACCGCAUACGAUCUAAGGAUGAAAGCAGGGGAUCGCAAGACCUUGUGCUCCUGGAGCGGCCGAUAUCUGAUUAGCUAGUUGGUGGGGUAAAGGCCCACCAAGGCAACGAUCAGUAGCUGGUCUGAGAGGACGACCAGUCACACUGGAACUGAGACACGGUCCAGACUCCUACGGGAGGCAGCAGUGGGGAAUUUUGGACAAUGGGGGCAACCCUGAUCCAGCAAUGCCGCGUGAGUGAAGAAGGCCUUCGGGUUGUAAAGCUCUUUUGUCAGGGAAGAAAAGGCUGUGGCUAAUAUCCACAGCUGCUGACGGUACCUGAAGAAUAAGCACCGGCU
This 469-nucleotide ribosomal RNA is filed under the name uncultured bacterium. Its description in RNAcentral is "bacterial SSU rRNA". It matches the Rfam family "Bacterial small subunit ribosomal RNA", at positions 34 to 498 of the family's 1533-position model. The record is from RNAcentral.